This 445-nucleotide ribosomal RNA is filed under the name uncultured bacterium. Its description in RNAcentral is "partial 16S ribosomal RNA". It matches the Rfam family "Bacterial small subunit ribosomal RNA", at positions 339 to 795 of the family's 1533-position model. The record is from RNAcentral.
CUACGGGUGGCACCAGCAGGGAAUAUUGCACAAUGGGCGAAAGCCUGAUGCGGCGACGCCGCGUGAGGGAUGAAGGCCUUCGGGUUGUAAACCUCUUUCAGGAGGGAAGAAGCGAAAGUGACGGUACCUCCACAAGAAGCCCCGGCCAACUACGUGCCAGCAGCCGCGGUAAUACGUUGGGGGCAAGCGUUGUCCGGAUUCAUUGGGCGUAAAGAGCUCGUAGGCGGCUCAGCAAGUCGGUCGUGAAAGCCCGGGGCUCAACCCCGGGACGCCGAUCGAAACUGCUGUGGCUAGGGUCCGGUAGAGGAGAGUGGAAUUCCCGGUGUAGCGGUGAAAUGCGCAGAUAUCGGGAGGAACACCAGUAGCGAAGGCGGCUCUCUGGGCCGGCACCGACGCUGAGGAGCGAAAGCUAGGGGAGCAAACAGGAUUAGAUACCCCGGUAGUC